AUCGGUGACAGGUGGUGCAUGGUUGUCGUCAGCUCGUGUCGUGAGAUGUUGGUUAAGUCCCGCAACGAGCGCAACCCCUAUUGUUAGUUGCCAUCAUUCAGUUGGGCACUCUAGCGAGACUGCCGGUAAUAAACCGGAGGAAGGUGGGGAUGACGUCAAAUCAUCAUGCCCCUUAUGACCUGGGCUACACACGUGCUACAAUGGUUGGUACAACGAGUUGCGAGUCGGUGACGGCGAGCUAAUCUCUUAAAGCCAAUCUCAGUUCGGAUUGUAGGCUGCAACUCGCCUACAUGAAAUCGGAAUCGCUAGUAAUCGCGGAUCAGCACGCCGCGGUGAAUACGUUCCCGGGCCUU
RNAcentral lists this ribosomal RNA (353 nucleotides) under uncultured Streptococcus sp. RNAcentral's name for it is "bacterial SSU rRNA". It matches the Rfam family "Bacterial small subunit ribosomal RNA", at positions 1027 to 1382 of the family's 1533-position model. The record is from RNAcentral. Lineage: Bacteria; Bacillati; Bacillota; Bacilli; Lactobacillales; Streptococcaceae.